ACGAACGCUGGCGGCGUGCUUAACACAUGCAAGUCGAACGAGGUCCAACCAGUGGCAACACUGCAGACGACCUAGUGGCGAACGGGUGAGUAACACGUGAGGAACCUGCCCCGAAGACCGGGAUAACCCUCCGAAAGGAGAGCUAAUACCGGAUGCCCCUCUACUGAUCGCAUGGUCGGUCGAGGAAAUGGAUUCCGCUUCGGGAGGGCCUCGCGGCCUAUCAGCUUGUUGGUGAGGUAACGGCUCACCAAGGCGACGACGGGUAGCUGGUCUGAGAGGACGAUCAGCCACACUGGGACUGAGACACGGCCCAGACUCCUACGGGAGGCAGCAGUGGGGAAUCUUGCGCAAUGGGCGAAAGCCUGACGCAGCAACGCCGCGUGCGGGAUGAAGGCCUUCGGGUUGUAAACCGCUUUCAGUGGGGACGAAAACAGACGGUACCCACAGAAGAAGCCCCGGCCAACUACGU
Molecule: ribosomal RNA, 469 nt
Filed under: uncultured bacterium
Lineage: Bacteria
Description: bacterial SSU rRNA
Rfam family: Bacterial small subunit ribosomal RNA
Source: RNAcentral